AAGUCAGAUGUGAAAGCCCCGGGCUUAACCUGGGACCUGCAUUUGAAACUGGUCAACUAGAGUAUGGUAGAGGAAAGUGGAAUUUCUGGUGUAGCGGUGAAAUGCGUAGAUAUCAGAAGGAACAUCAAUGGCGAAGGCAGCUUUCUGGACCAAUACUGACGCUGAGGUACGAAAGCGUGGGUAGCAAACAGGAUUAGAUACCCUGGUAGUCCACGCCGUAAACGAUGAUAACUAGCCGUUGGGGGGAUUUACCCUUUAGUGGCGAAGCUAACGCGUUAAGUUAUCCGCCUGGGGAGUACGGCCGCAAGGUUAAAACUCAAAUGAAUUGACGG
This 332-nucleotide ribosomal RNA is filed under the name uncultured bacterium. RNAcentral's name for it is "bacterial SSU rRNA". It matches the Rfam family "Bacterial small subunit ribosomal RNA", at positions 585 to 916 of the family's 1533-position model. The record is from RNAcentral.